This 253-nucleotide unclassified non-coding RNA is filed under the name uncultured bacterium. RNAcentral's name for it is "contains 16S-23S intergenic spacer region". It matches the Rfam family "Bacterial small subunit ribosomal RNA", at positions 524 to 776 of the family's 1533-position model. The record is from RNAcentral.
UACGGAGGUGGCAAGCGUUGUUCGGAUUCAUUGGGUGUAAAGGGCAUGUAGGCGGCCUUUUAAGUCGACUGUGAAAUCCCUUGGCUUAACCAAGGAACUGCAGUCGAUACUGAGAGGCUUGAGUACAGAAGAGGAGAACGGAAUUCCCGGUGUAAGGGUGAAAUCUGCAGAGAUCGGGAGGAACACCAGUGGCGAAGGCGGUUCUCUGGUCUGUUACUGACGCUGAAAUGCGAAAGCUAGGGGAGCAAACAGG